This 589-nucleotide unclassified non-coding RNA is filed under the name Hevea brasiliensis (rubber tree). The record is from RNAcentral. Lineage: Eukaryota; Viridiplantae; Streptophyta; Magnoliopsida; Malpighiales; Euphorbiaceae.
CGUCAAAUGAUCGAAUUAUCUCUCGCUCAAAACCAAUGAGUAUUGCCUGAACAAUUGUGAAGAACAAAAUUCAACUAGCCAAUUAUAAUCAAUCAUUCCUCCUGCUUCAUAUAAAUGUGUAUCUCAAAAACCAAAUGUCACUAAAUUAUAAAAAUUCAAAUUGUAGCCGUCAAUCCUCUGCCUUCAACUAUAGAAUAGAAUCAAUUAAUCAAAAUUAGAAUAGUACCAAUUAGUUUACAUGUUCCUCUUCUCUUCCUUCACCAGCUUCAAUUCGCUGUUUAUUCUUUUCAAUUGCCGCCGCCACCUCCUUAGGCAUAUACUUCUCAUCAUGCUUAGCCAAAACCUCCGUAGCAGAGAAGUAACACUUCCCGCUCCUAGCUUUCCCUGAAACGCUUCUCGCUCCCACCUCCUUCCUUAACUCCUCCGUGAAUGGUUUCACAAACCCUUCGACCACCACCGAAUGCCCUUCUCUAAACAAGUCGGGCAGCGAUCCCUGAUACCGGACCAAAAUAUCAGUGACCAAAUCUGUAAUUACAAACUCCAUUUCAGGCGAAGAAACGGGUUGAACCACGCUUCCUUCGAGAACUAA